GACGAACGCUGGCGGCGUGCUUAACACAUGCAAGUCGAACGGAAAGGCCCUGCUUUUGUGGGGUGCUCGAGUGGCGAACGGGUGAGUAACACGUGAGUAACCUGCCCUUGACUUUGGGAUAACUUCAGGAAACUGGGGCUAAUACCGGAUAGGAGCUCCUGCUGCAUGGUGGGGGUUGGAAAGUUUCGGCGGUUGGGGAUGGACUCGCGGCUUAUCAGCUUGUUGGUGGGGUAGUGGCUUACCAAGGCUUUGACGGGUAGCCGGCCUGAGAGGGUGACCGGCGACAGUGGGAUUGAGACCAGCCCCCGACGCUGAGGGGAGGGAGGAGUGGGGAGUAGUGCACGAGGGGAGGAGUCGUGAUGCAGUAACGCGGCGCGGGGGAGGGCGGUCUUGUGGGUGAAACCCUUUUGCGGCUGUGACGAAGGGUGAGGGAUGGUAAUGGGAAAAGAAACACCGGCUAACUACGUGCGAGGCGCGGCGUUCAUGACGAAGAGAACACGUCUGAAC
Molecule: ribosomal RNA, 507 nt
Filed under: uncultured bacterium
Lineage: Bacteria
Description: partial 16S ribosomal RNA
Rfam family: Bacterial small subunit ribosomal RNA
Source: RNAcentral